Molecule: long non-coding RNA, 3712 nt
Organism: Gorilla gorilla gorilla (western lowland gorilla)
Lineage: Eukaryota; Metazoa; Chordata; Mammalia; Primates; Hominidae
Exons: 3
Source: RefSeq, a predicted model, not a curated record
ACAGUUGACCCUUAAAGAACACAUAUUUUGAACUAUGGCCCAGUUACACGUGGAUUUUUUCAGUAAAAUUACACCAUGUCUGUCUGCCUCUCCUGCCUCCUCUUCCACCGCCUCCACCUCUUCUGCCUCUGCCAAUCCUGUGACAGCAAGAACAACCCCUCCACUUUUUCCUCCUCCUCAGCCCGUUCAAUGUGAAGAAAAGGAUGAAGAUCUUUACGAUGAUCAACUUCUAUUUAAUGAAGGCAAAGCAGAAGAAUCAAAGGAUUGCUUUCUACAGACGUUAACUAAGAAUGAACGAGGCAAAUGAGUAAAGGAAGCAGGUACCCCUUGGCACAAGUGAUGUCCAGCGGCAAGGGAUGGCUCUUUUUGGAGAUACAUGAUGCCACCUGUGAAUAGUUGUGUAGCCAGCAGUUUCAAGGCCUGGAGAUGAAGCCCUUCUUGAGAGACCUGAAUGGCAAGACUUUCUGUCCAGAGUAGGGAACUCCGUAACCUAUCACAGACUCCUCUGCUGAGAGUAGGUCUCAUAUAUCUAUGAAUCUCUCAAUCUGUUCUUCACUGCCUCAUCUAUGGUUAUCCAAAAAAUCAUGGUUGUUAUGUCUGGUGCUACCUGCACCUCCAGUGAAUCCAUGGAUACCUCCAGCAGGUUUUUCUUUGGUCAUGACAGAUGCUAAUUUAUUGCCCUGUUGCCAUCAGUCACACAAUUUUGACCACAGCAUGAUGCAUAACUGCAUGAGCUAUUCCUCACAUAGAGGGCCAGUCCCACUAUAGCUGCAGUAGAUAUCAUCUUCAUUGACCCUGGCAAUGAUUUCAAGCAGCUCAGUCACUGGCACAAAGGCAUGCAGGCUCCCAAAACCAAUUAUGCUCACGCUCUUUGGUUGUAAUGAUGACAUACAUAAUAGCUUUCAAACCAAGGGCCUAUCUCACAUCAUGUUUCCAUUGUGGUUGGCAAUUUAGUAGUUGUAAAAAGGGAGAAGUAAAAUAAAUGGCAAAAUGAAACAAACAAAUAUAUUAUUUUCCUCUUCUAGAAAGAGGCAAAUACAUAUAUUCUUUCAAUCUCUUAGUAAUAGUCUGCAAUGGUUAAUUUUUAUAUGCCAACUUGAUUGGGCUAAGAGAUAUCCAAAUUGCUUAUAAAACUAUUUCUGAAUGCAUCUGUGAAGGUGUUUUCAUAAGCAACUACCAUUUAAAUAAGUAUACUGUGUACAGCAUGUUAUUGAGUAUGCUCUCAAUAAUAUGGAUGGGCAUCAUCCAAUUCACUGAGGGCACAGAUAGAAUGAAAAAGGCAGAGGGGGGAUAAAUUAGCCCUCUCUGCCUGAGCUGGCCAGUCUGCUUCUCCUGCCCUUGGCCACUGGAGCUUCUGGUUCUUGGGUCUUUGGACUGGGAUUUAGGCCAUUGGCACCCCUGGUCCUCAGGGCUUUACGUUUGGAUUGGAAUUGUACCACAAGCUUUCCUGGGCCUCCAGCUUGCAUACAUCAGAUUGUGGGAUUUUUCAGCCUAUAUAAUCAAAUAUUCUAAUUCUUCAUAAUGAAUCUCUUUCUAUAUAUCUAUAUGUAUGUAUGUAUCUUUCUAGCUAUCUAAUCUAUCCUAUUGAAGACACAUUCAAAUAAGGUCUUUCAGUUUCUGAACUAAUUAUCUUCGAUAAAGGCAAGGUAUUGAAACAAAAUAAAACAACAAAAGAAUUCUCUUAUUAGAAUUAGAAAUACUUUCUAUUGUUUUUUCAAGACAUUGUGUUUGUUCUAGCACGGGACCAAACAUACUUUGAAUUUGACGUCUGUAUGAAAAGACCUGACAAAGAUAUAAAGAAGACAAAACAACCACAAAAAGACAUAUUUCAGUGAUAUAACAUUUUUUAUUAAAGUUUUACCAAAGUAAUGAAUUUCCCACAAUCUCAAAAGACACUGAAAGGUUAGUUUUAUUUUUUAACUGCAUUUUCUUCACGACAAGAGUAUUUAUAAUUUAUAGCACUGAUUUAAUUUUGAAAAUGGAAACUGACUUAUGUGGAGUUUUAUGCAACAAAGGGAGGUGGAUUUUUAAGCUGAAAAAUACAUAUUACAAAGAUGAGAAAAAUAAAACGUUCUACACUUUUAAAGUUUUACAGAAAAGCAGAAUCAAUUAUAUUCUCUUCUAAUCUAAGUAAUAUUUUCGUUGUGGAAUCCCAAAAAAUAAUCUCCACAACUCAGUAAAUGAAGGAGAGCAGCUCUCACAUUCUUAUAUAAAUGGAAACAUUUAGGAUGAUAAAGGAUACAUAAACUGGAUUACUAAAAUCUGUGGCUUAUUAACAAGUUCCUAAAGAAGUUCAUGGCUUAGUCAUCUGAAGAGCUCUUUUUAUGUGAACCAAAAUACUUCGUUUUUGAGAGACAGAAUUUUUCUUUAUAUUUAUAUAACCAAAUAAGAAAAACUAUUAUUUCAUGUAAGUGAACGUUCUAGGAAUAGAUUUGUUAUUCUAUACAGGGCUGGUUCUAGCUGCAUAAACGAUUUCAUGGAGAUUAAGUGUUUCUCUGUGUGGAUGUCUCUCUCUCUCUCUCUCUCUCUCUCUCUCUCUCUCCCCCCCUCUCUCUGUCUCCCUGUCUCUGCCCUGACCCCCACUUCUGGAUUCUUUAAAUUGGCUUGAUUUUCAAGCAUUCUCUCACUCUUUGGUGUGACAAUGACUGGCAAUGUCCACCUCCAACUAGCUUAAUAAAUCUGUAAUUCAAAGAGUUCUAGUGAAUAUCUUGGGUUGUGUCUUUGGACCAACCAGGAUCACUUGUCCAGUCCUGAGUUAACUGGAUAGGUCAUGAAACACAAAUUGUGAUGGGCGGCAUCUCGCAUCAUCCCUUAGAACCACAAGUGUGGUGUCAGUCCAUCUUAAAACACACAAACCUAGAAUCUGGGGAGCUGUUCCCCAAACAAAAAAUUUGUAUGAUGUUGCCAAGUAUAAAGGAAUGAAUACUUGGAGAGAAAACAAAAAACAAAAAACAUAAACAACUCUUGCUAACUGAACUUCCACUGACUCUAGAGUAAGUAUUACAUAUUGGAAAAUAUUUCUUAGUUUUUACACAAAAUAAGUGCACUGAUUGUAAUCUAGCCUUUCUUUAGCAAUGUAUGUGUAUGAAUGUGUGUGUGUGUGUGUGUCAUCCUAGACCUUUCUGGAGACAUUCGUUAAUUGAAAAAGUUAUUAAAUGAUGGAACUUUAAGGGUUAAUAAAACUGUCCACUGGAAAAAACGAGUGGGAAUAAAUGAAAUCCUAUCUCUAUUUAUCCUCACCUUGGCCUGCUUAUGUUUUAAAUCAUUGUCAUGAUCACGCCACCAUUAGAGUGAUUCGAGUUCUACAUAGCCUGUCUAAACCAGUAGCCCGGUGAAGUACUUUGUAAGGAAUUUGAAACAUAAAAAGCUCAAGAAGGGAGCAACGUAAUACAAAGCAAUCUGAAAGCAACGCUUAGCAAUUAAUAUAUGGUAAUUCCUCUCUAUAAUUUUUUUUGGUAUUUUCUUUGAAAAUUAUAUUUUUCAAAAUAGUUUAUUUCAAAAAAUGCCCUCACAAUACUUCACACACAUUCAAAUGGUGUUCUCAUUUGUCUGCUUUCCUUAAGGGUAGUAGUAGAUGUGUGGAUAAUGUUGCAAAUAGAGAACAGAAACAGGAAACAGUAAAGAUAUAUGUUUUUAUCUACCAAAAAAGCAUUGAUAUUCUUAGCAUUCUCUGUCUUUCUGUCCAAAAUUAAUCUCCCUUUCACACCUCAAA